Molecule: ribosomal RNA, 253 nt
Filed under: uncultured bacterium
Lineage: Bacteria
Description: partial 16S ribosomal RNA
Rfam family: Bacterial small subunit ribosomal RNA
Source: RNAcentral
UACGUAGGGAGCAAGCGUUGUCCGGAAUCAUUGGGCGUAAAGCGCGCGUAGGUGGCUUCGUAAGUCCGCUGUGAAAGUCAAAGGCUCAACCUUUGAAAGCCGGUGGAUACUGUGGAGCUAGAGUCCGGAAGAGGCGAGUGGAAUUCCUGGUGUAGCGGUGGAAUGCGCAGAUAUCAGGAGGAACACCAAUAGCGAAGGCAGCUCGCUGGGACGGUACUGACACUAAGGCGCGAAAGCGUGGGGAGCGAACAGG